This 501-nucleotide ribosomal RNA is filed under the name uncultured bacterium. RNAcentral describes it as "partial 16S ribosomal RNA". It matches the Rfam family "Bacterial small subunit ribosomal RNA", at positions 29 to 523 of the family's 1533-position model. The record is from RNAcentral.
AGCGAACGCUGGCGGCAUGCCUUACACAUGCAAGUCGAACGGCAGCACGGGUGCUUGCACCUGGUGGCGAGUGGCGAACGGGUGAGUAAUACAUCGGAACGUACCUUAUCGUGGGGGAUAACGCAGCGAAAGUUGCGCUAAUACCGCAUACGCCCUGAGGGGGAAAGCGGGGGACCGUAAGGCCUCGCGCGAUUAGAGCGGCCGCUGUCUGAUUAGCUUGUUGGUGAGGUAAAAGCUCACCAAGGCGAUGAUCAGUAGCUGGUCUGAGAGGACGAUCAGCCACACUGGGACUGGGACACGGCCCAGACUCCUACGGGAGGCAGCAGUGGGGAAUUUUGGACAAUGGGGGCAACCCUGAUCCAGCAAUGCCGCGUGAGUGAAGAAGGCCUUCGGGUUGUAAAGCUCUUUUGUCAGGGAAGAAACAGAAGCUCUAACACAGUCUGCGAAUGACGGUACCUGAAGAAUAAGCACCGGCUAACUACGUGCCAGCAGCCGCCGUAA